Molecule: long non-coding RNA, 1633 nt
Filed under: Polistes fuscatus (common paper wasp)
Lineage: Eukaryota; Metazoa; Arthropoda; Insecta; Hymenoptera; Vespidae
Description: uncharacterized LOC122514578
Source: RNAcentral
AGUUUGAUAUAAAUAUAUUAGGAUGAAUUCGCAUGUAGGCAUGCGUGGUAGAUAGAAGCGUUUCGAGUUGAAAUCAUGGAAUCAUCAUAAAGCAAAGCGUCGUUAAUGACUCAGUGGUUCAUUCUUACAACAGCAAUAGAUGGUGAAGGUGUUUUCGUUGCUAUUUAUUUUAUUGUUAACAUAAAAUUUUAGAGAUCUCAUCUGGAAUAAUAAUACAAACAGUAAAAAUUGAAAAGUAAACGUUAAAUUAAUAAAAAUUAACACGAUGAAUACUACAGAUUCAGAGAAUAAUCUAAGAUCUAGACAAAUGAGAAUAAAUAACGAAUAUACACUAUUAAAUGAAAAGAUCCUACAAAUGAAAAGCGAACAAAGAAGGAAUCUACGGGAGAAAUAUCAGUUUUCGGUCGAUAUCCACGAUUCCGAAGAUCAAAAAUUGAAAAUUAGAUCAAUCAAACAGUUAGAGGAAAUAAUAUCAACGUUCAGUGGUGACGAUAACACAGAUAUUAUUCACUGGAUAUAUAAAUACGAAGUAAUUGCAGAUGCAUGCUGUUGGUCCGAUCUUCAGAAAGUAGUGUACUGUAAACGAAUGUUAAGAGGAUCAGCGAGAAAAUAUAUUCGAUUACUAAAAUGUUGUUUUUCGUGGAAACAACUGAAAUCUUGUUUACAAGAUGAAUUUUAUUCAUUACCUGAGGAUUACACGAGACCAAUACAAUAUCAGUUUCAAAUAAAUGAAUUUAGUAGAGAAGUCGAAGAUCCUUGGAUAGGAAGAACCAAAAGGUCGUCGGCGUUAGAACGAUUUUUCCAGAAAAAAAGUAACAAUUCAGAUAAUAAAUUCACCCUCGAUAAUACUACUACACUUAAACAAUUAAAAGAAGAUAUUGCGUAUUAUGAUAGCAUAAAUAUGAUGAAUAGCUUAAAAUUGCAAGAUUCACGUCGGACAAAAUAGUUAGCGCAUGCAUCGGAAUUGAAUGACAUGAUAUAAUUGACGAAUCGCCCAUAUAGAUUUGGCGACUUAUUCAUCGAAAAUAAAGCAUUUCACAUACAAGUUUGGAUUUAUAUCAGACAAAUGUCCGAGGAGCACUAUACCUAAGAUUUAGUAUUAUGAAAGUUGUUUAUAAGAACCAUAACUCCACAUUAGUGUUUAAGUACACUUACAAAAAAAACAUUUUAGAAAUACAUUGAAAUAUGCAGCUCUGUAGUAGUUGCGUUACGUAAUUUACAAUUAGAUUUUGAUAGAUCACAAGCAAUACCGAGCCAGAUUUUGGAGAUUGCAGCAGCAUGUGCUAUAUAUUUGUAUCAUUACUAAUAUAGAAAGCAUAACUAUACAUAAAUCUAUAAAACAAUUAAAGCUAUAAAUUAGAAGCAGAUAUUUUUAUUAAAUUAAACAUUUUAUUAAUAAAUAUCUUCAAAAUCUUUGGUACAUCCCACAAAUAUUUGUAACUAUAUUUUUUAUAAAACGGUAAACAAUAAUAUUUAAUAUUUUGUCUUUAUAUGUGUGCCUUCGGAAAUGCAUAUACACGUAUAUUUCAAAAAAAACAAUUUUAGACACUCUAAUAUACGAAAAUCAAAAAGGGUUAACAUGUAAUUUAACGAUAAUUAUUUGUAACAAUAAAUAGAUACAUCAGUUAUGUAA